This 2568-nucleotide long non-coding RNA is filed under the name Medicago truncatula (barrel medic). RNAcentral describes it as "long non-coding RNA (MTRU_LNC004719)". Lineage: Eukaryota; Viridiplantae; Streptophyta; Magnoliopsida; Fabales; Fabaceae. The record is from RNAcentral.
CUUCUUCAUCCGUAACCGAUAAUUUUCGUAUUUCGUUAGUACAUGAAUUGUAACUCCUCGGUUACAUAGGGUUUAAAUAAUUGGAAAUAAGUGGAAAAUUAUAAUAAAUAAAACAAGCAUUUAGUAGAAGAUAAGUAAAUAACCUGAAAAUACUUUAAUAAAAAAUUUCUUCAAAGACAAAAAAUCAUACAUCUAAAAAUUCAAUAAUAAUGCAAGAAUCACCAAAACUUGGUGGAUUUCAAACAAACCUAAAACAAAUUUCCCACCAAGCCAAAAGUGACUAAUCAAAGGAAAGAAUAAUCAUCAAAGAAACAAAAGGCUCCUCGGUGUGCUCAGAGUAUCUUUUUCCAAUAUCUCAAAAACAUUACCAGUGAGAUUUAUAAAUAUCAGUAAAUAUACUACAGUUUUAAAUCAGUUUAAAAAAGUGAUUUUUCCAACCGGCAUUGCAACUGUAAAAAUUGACCAAGAUAUCAUAUUCUUUCAAUAAUAAUAUAGUAAUAACAACUCGAAAAUCAAAUACAUUAAAAUAGAUCAUUAUAAUUCAUAUAAUGACAUCUCACAAUUAAAUUAAAUACCUUCAUUCCAUUCUCAAUUAUCGUUGAAAUCAUUUUAUAAUAAAAAAAAUUAACACAUUGUGCGGGUGUCCCAACUGCCUCAUCCCAUUGGAAUGGUGUCUGCUAUCACUUCCAAAUAGGUGAUGGUACACAAAUCUAUUGGAACACCAGCUCAUCUCAUGUGGGUAAUCAAGCCUGUCUUUGUGGAGCUCAAAGUUUAUCUGGGUGGGAUACGAGACCCGUCCAUAUGGAGCACAUACCUCAUAUCUAUGUAAAUAUUUGUAAACUACAAGACCCAUCCAUGUGGAGCACACAGCUCAAUCUUUAGGUACAUAACCAUCGACUAAUGGACACAUCCAUGUGGAUCACACAGCCAGAUCUCUGGGUAAAUAACCAUCAACUAUUCAACAGAUCCAUAUCGAGCACAUAGCUCAUAUUGGGUAAAUAACCAUAAGAUACAAGAACCACCAAUAUGGACCACAUAGCUCAUUUGGGGUAAAUGACUGUGGAACGCAUGGCUCAUCUCAUACAUAUGGCACAUCCCAGGCAAAUAAUCAUGAGACAUAGGAACCAUUGAUAGGGAGCACAUAGCUCAUCUCUCUCAUACAUAUGGCACAUCCUGGGCAAAUAACCGUGAGAUAUAUGACCCAUCGAUGAGGAGCACAUAGCUCAUCUGUCUCAUACAUAUGGCACAUCCUGGGCAAAUAACCGAGACAUAACCCAUCGAUGAGGAGCACAUAGCUCAUCUGUCUCAUACAUAUGGCACAUCCUGGGAAAAUAACCGUGAGACAGAACCCAUCGAUAGGGAGCACAUAGCUCAUUCGCUCAUGCAUAUGGCACAUCCUGGGCAAAUAACCGUGAGACACAGGACCCAUCGAUAGGGAGCACAUAGCUCAUCUGUCUCAUUUAUAUGGCUAAUCCUGGGUAAAUAACCGUGAGAUAUAUCGAUAGGGAGCACAUAGCUCAUUUGUCUCGUAUACAUAGCUCAUGGGUAAAUAACCGUGAGAUAUAGGAUCCAUCGAUAUGGAGCACAUAGCUCAUUCUGGGAAAUAACUACGGAACAUUUGACUUGUCUCAUUCAUAUAGCCAUAUAGCUCAUCCUGGGUAAAUAACAUUAAGAUACUGGACACAUCGAUAUGGAGCACAUAACCCAUCUUCGGUAAAUAACUGAGGACCACAUGGCUCGUCUCGUACAUAUGGCUCAUAUUGGCUCAUAUAGGGCAAAUAGAGUAAAUAACUGUGAUAUAAGACCACAUAACUAAUCCCGUAAAUAACUUUGGAACACUUGGCUCAUCUCCAACGACCAACCACCCAACAAUCAUCGAUCAAAAUCCCUUUUAGUUCCGUUUCAUGCAAACAUCACUAAAAUGGAUUAUUCAUUAUCUAAAUCCCUUUUUUCACUACCAUCAUCAUGAAAAAUCAUCACAUAUUUGUAAAAGGCUUUAAUUCAUAUAAUUCCUUCAAUAUAUUCAACAAAUCAUAAAAAAAUCAUCCAUAACCAUCAAUUCAACAGACCAAUUGAAUACAUAACAACAAUCAAUUUCAUGAUUAUAAAUCCAACAUUUCACAAAUCCCACAAUUAACAAAGUUGGGUUUUCAUCGAAAACCCUAACUCGUUCCAAAUUCCGAUAUCACCAAUCAAAAAAUGUACCAUAAAAAAACGUUUCAAAAAAACAGUGUGAUGUGAUUAUUACUCACCUUGCGCAGAGUUAGUUAACUCAGAAAUAAUGUUACUGUUCAAACUAGUAUCAUUUUGUUGUGUUGCUAAUUUCUUCUUCAUCUUCUUCCUCUGCUUACUCAGUUUUCUCUUUCGUUUUUUGUUACUCGUUGGAGAAAGAUUGUUAUUAUUCAGAACUUGUUCUUCUUCUUUCUCUGUUUUCAUACCUGAAAUCUCGUUGUUCAUAGAUUCUGAAAAAUCUUCAAUCUGAGAAUGUGGUGAAUUUGUCGCAGCGGCGGCGGCGGUGGUUUAGAGAGGAAACGGUGGUGGUUUAGUUUCUUAGGGUUUCAACUUCUG